Molecule: ribosomal RNA, 253 nt
Filed under: uncultured bacterium
Lineage: Bacteria
Description: partial 16S ribosomal RNA
Rfam family: Bacterial small subunit ribosomal RNA
Source: RNAcentral
UACGUAGGGGGCAAGCGUUGUCCGGAUUUAUUGGGCGUAAAGAGCGUGUAGGCGGCCAGACAGGUCCGUUGUGAAAACUCGAGGCUCAACCUCGAGAUGUCGAUGGAAACCGUGUGGCUAGAGUCCGGAAGAGGAGAGUGGAAUUCCUGGUGUAGCGGUGAAAUGCGCAGAUAUCAGGAAGAACACCAAUGGCGAAGGCAGCUCUCUGGGACGGUACUGACGCUGAGACGCGAAAGCGUGGGGAGCGAACAGG